GUGGGGAAUCUUGCGCAAUGGGCGAAAGCCUGACGCAGCCAUGCCGCGUGAAUGAUGAAGGUCUUAGGAUUGUAAAAUUCUUUCACCGGGGACGAUAAUGACGGUACCCGGAGAAGAAGCCCCGGCUAACUUCGUGCCAGCAGCCGCGGUAAUACGAAGGGGGCUAGCGUUGCUCGGAAUUACUGGGCGUAAAGGGCGCGUAGGCGGACAGUUUGGUCAGAGGUGAAAGCCCAGGGCUCAACCUUGGAAUUGCCUUUGAUACUGGCUGUCUUGAGUACGGGAGAGGUGAGUGGAACUCCGAGUGUAGAGGUGAAAUUCGUAGAUAUUCGGAAGAACACCAGUGGCGAAGGCGACUCACUGGCCCGUUACUGACGCUGAGGCGCGAAAGCGUGGGGAGCAAACAGGAUUAGAUACCCCUGUAGUCC
This 425-nucleotide ribosomal RNA is filed under the name uncultured bacterium. RNAcentral's name for it is "partial 16S ribosomal RNA". It matches the Rfam family "Bacterial small subunit ribosomal RNA", at positions 354 to 796 of the family's 1533-position model. The record is from RNAcentral.